UACGUAAGGGGCAAGCGUUAUCCGGAUUUACUGGGUGUAAAGGGAGCGUAGACGGCAGUGCAAGUCUGGAGUGAAAGGCGGGGGCUCAACCCCCGGACUGCUCUGGAAACUGUACGGCUGGAGUGCAGGAGAGGUAAGUGGAAUUCCUAGUGUAGCGGUGAAAUGCGUAGAUAUUAGGAGGAACACCAGUGGCGAAGGCGGCUUACUGGACUGUAACUGACGUUGAGGCUCGAAAGCGUGGGGAGCAAACAGG
Molecule: ribosomal RNA, 253 nt
Filed under: uncultured bacterium
Lineage: Bacteria
Description: partial 16S ribosomal RNA
Rfam family: Bacterial small subunit ribosomal RNA
Source: RNAcentral